This 220-nucleotide long non-coding RNA is filed under the name Medicago truncatula (barrel medic). RNAcentral describes it as "lncRNA gene29486". Lineage: Eukaryota; Viridiplantae; Streptophyta; Magnoliopsida; Fabales; Fabaceae. The record is from RNAcentral.
UGGGGCUACUUUGAUGUUGUUUUUCAUAAAACAUGUGAAUGUGAAUUAAGUAGAAAUUCACGAAUAACAUGAAACUGGUCUCAUUUGUUAAGAUAUUUCAAACAAUAAAUUUAUUGAAUAAAUUGUUAGGGUUACAUUUUUACUCUUUUUUUUUAAAACAUUGCACAUUAAAGCAACUAAAUAUGUUGUUUUUACUUUCUAUAAAUUUAUCAACUUUCCA